GUCGAGUGGGGUAACGCCUGCUUGUAACUCAAGUGGGGACAAUAAGGUGGUGGGACUUUGGGUUGAGUCACGGAGUUGGGUUUAUGUGGCCGUUCUCUGGCCCGCCCGUUCCAAGCGUCGAGUUGAGUUAUGGGACUUGUGCGUAGGUUCAGGCCUCGUAGCUCCUAGAGGGGAAGGCAAAGCGUGAGGCUGGAUUCACAGAGCAGCGAUAACUUCCCACUCUUCGCAGUGGAAGGAUAACGGACCGGUGCCAUUUAGAUCCAAUAUGGCUACGUCACUCUUCCCUAAUCGGACUAACGCCUUU
Molecule: signal recognition particle RNA, 304 nt
Filed under: Gossypium arboreum
Lineage: Eukaryota; Viridiplantae; Streptophyta; Magnoliopsida; Malvales; Malvaceae
Description: Plant signal recognition particle RNA
Rfam family: Plant signal recognition particle RNA
Source: Rfam by way of RNAcentral